Non-coding RNA from Vicia faba (fava bean), 210 nucleotides. The record is from the annotation of a GenBank genome assembly. Lineage: Eukaryota; Viridiplantae; Streptophyta; Magnoliopsida; Fabales; Fabaceae.
AUGGACACCAUCAGUCUCUCCUUCGCUCUCACACUCCAUUGUCAACCCGUUCAAGCACCUCCAUUUUUUCGCUCGCAAAUCAACCUCCCUCCAUCGCGUUUCACCUCACCACCAGCUUUACCUUACUGUGAACCACCCUUCAUCUUUCAACACAGUACUAUACUCCCUCCCUUCUCCAUGAUAACUUCUGAUACUCCAUCUCAACAAUGA